GACGAACGCUGGCGGCGUGCCUAACACAUGCAAGUCGAGCGAAGCAUCCGGAGGGCUUGCCCGAAGGAUGACUUAGCGGCGGACGGGUGAGUAACGCGUGAACAAUCUGGCCUUUACAGGGGGAUAACAACCGGAAACAGUUGCUAAUACCGCAUAUGACCACAGUAUCGCAUGAUACAGGGGUGAAAGAAAUAUCGGUAAAGGGGGAGUUCGCGUCCCAUUAGUUAGUUGGUGAGGUAACGGCUCACCAAGGCGACGAUGGGUAGCCGACCUGAGAGGGUGAACGGCCACAUUGGAACUGAGACACGGUCCAAACUCCUACGGGAGGCAGCAGUGGGGAAUAUUGGGCAAUGGGCGAAAGCCUGACCCAGCAACGCCGCGUGAGUGAUGAAGGUCUUCGGAUCGUAAAAACUCUGUUGUAAAGGAAGAAUGUCAUAUAUAGGAAAUGAUAUAUGAGUGACGGUACUUUACUAGAAAGUCACGGCUUACUACGUGCCAGCAGCCGACGG
This 509-nucleotide ribosomal RNA is filed under the name uncultured bacterium. Its description in RNAcentral is "bacterial SSU rRNA". It matches the Rfam family "Bacterial small subunit ribosomal RNA", at positions 28 to 520 of the family's 1533-position model. The record is from RNAcentral.